Molecule: non-coding RNA, 3048 nt
Organism: Salvelinus sp. IW2-2015
Lineage: Eukaryota; Metazoa; Chordata; Actinopteri; Salmoniformes; Salmonidae
Source: RefSeq, a predicted model, not a curated record
UAUCAGCUGAUGUACGAAGGGUUAUAUAAAUACAUUUGAUUUGAUUGAAAUUUGAUUUGGUAGCGGAUUUGGCAGACCUAUUGGCAUCAAUUCUCUCAAACCAGUCUGCUAGACAUAAAAUGGAUUCUGGUCAGUGCCGGUGGCUGAGGAGUCACGAGACUGGUUUGGGUUCUGUUGCCAGGGGGAGUAAAAUACGUGGGCUAGGGCACCGAUGGGAUUUACAAAUAGUCCAACUUUGUAUCACGCUGCAUUGAAACAAUCGCUUAAAGGGUGUACAUUUCAGGGUUCUGUGUUGGUACAAUACGUAGAUKAUUUGUUAUUGGCGUAAAAAGAUGAAGAAACUCAUAUGUGAGACCUUACCACAUUAGUAAACUAUUUGGCAGAGCAGGAUCACAAAGCAUCAUAUGAGAAAGCACAACUAUCGAAACAAGAAGUAACAUAUUAGGGAGUGUCUAUUUCGAAAUGGAAACGAAACACAUUACACGUGAUAGAGUAGAAACAAUGCGUUCUCUGGCAUAGCCAAACACUCCUCCACGCUCAGGAAAACCCUAGGAGCGUUCAAUUUUGUGAGACAUUUUAUUCCGUAAUUCUCUGAAAUUGCUGAACGACUUACAGAGUUGACAAAAGGGGGGAAGGGUCCCCAUGAAAGGAUAGAGUGGAGUCAAGAGUGUGAGAUGGCGUUUGUCGAGCUAAAGAACCAAUUGUGUCAAGCGCCAGCAUUGGGGUUGCCAAACCUAAAAUGACCUUAUAUUAUAAAAUGUUUGUUCAUGAACAUGAAAGACAUUGUAGCGCGGUGGUUACGCAAAAGCAUGAGGGAAUAGAGAGACCAGUAAUGUACUGGAGUAUAUCGUUAGACUCGGUGGCGACAGGAAUGCCACCGUGCCUGAGGGCGGUACAAGCGACAGAAAUGGUGUUGCAUAACACAGCUUCGAUUACAAUGGGGCAAAAAGUGGAUUUGUAUGUUCCACAUGCAGUAGCAACCAUAGCUAAUAGCACGAAAGCACAACACGUUACUAGCGCGAAAUGGAAAAAAUGGGAAUUAAAGUUAAAUGGGUAAAAUCUACAUUUCCAUAAGAUUGAUACUUUGAAUUCUACGUCGUUAAUGCCGUUGCCCGGGGAGGGUGAACUUACAUGUGACCCAGAUCAAUUUACGCCAAAGCCUAGGCCGAUUUGGAAGAGACAGCAUUGGAAUUGGGACAAGUAUUGUAUACAGAUGGCUCUAGUUACAUGACCAUAGAAGGGAAGAGAGUAACGGGGUACGCUGUGUGUGAUGACAGGGGUGUAGUAACGGCUGGCCCAGUGCCAUCCUCGGUGUCAGCCCAGGGGGUGGAAUUAUAUGCAUUAGCCGAGGCCUGUCGGCUGUCRGAAGGGGAGAAUGUAACAAUAUACACUGAUUCUCGAUAUGCAUUUGGGGUAGUUCAUGAUUUCAGUACAUUGUGGUCACAAUGGGGGGCAUGUUAACAGCGAUAGGAACAGAAAUAAAAAAUGGACAGGAGCUAGAGGCAUUAUUAGUAGUGUGUCAGCUACACAGUAAAUUAACAGUGGUGAAAUGUGAAGCUCAUUCUAGUCGUACAGAUAAAAUAGCCAUAGGGAAUCGCAGAGCAGACGAAACUGCUAAGGCGGCAGCCUUAGUAAGAGAAGGUGUUAAAGCACCUGCAGCGGUAAAGUCCACAGCCUAUUCUCGGGGGGUUCACACUUCUCACGUGAAACGAGAUCCAGCUGCAUAAUGGGUGAGCUGGAAGCUGCCAUGAUAGAGGAAGCGGAGCUAAACCGAGAGAGGAAGAGUAGAUUUCACUGUAGACAAGCAGUUGGGUAGGGUCUGGGAGCUACUUUAACCACCAGUCUUUGUGUCUGUUGCUUUAAUGCUUACUGAACCAUGUAAAAAGUAUACAUUGACAAUUCGCAUUGAAAGGGUUGCCAAAUAUGAAGACACGAGAAUGCAUUGGGGUAGAGUCAGUACCAGUGCUACGGAUACUAGACAGAUCACUAAUCACAAAGGUAUGUUGAUAUGGGUGAAGCCACUUGAUAACAGGAUUAGUACAUUGUACGUAGGUUGUUCAGAUCAAGGUGUAGUUUUAUUACAGACAGGAGUGUGGAAGGAUCAUAAUAAUACAGAGUCUUAAGAACGAAACUAGAUUUUAUCUUUUGCCGCAGAUGGUUCUAGAUCAGCUGAAGCUCAGUCGAUAACUUUCAGAUGAAUGCUACCAGAACUAAAAACAUUUCAGGAAGUUGAUAGCAUGAACACAACCAUUGCUGACAAUGGACAUAGGUUUUUCUUUGCAUAUAUAGUUAUGCAUAGUUUAACACAUUAUUAAUACUGUUAUGUUUUGUGUUUCUUUUUGCUUUUCAAGUCUUGUGCUAUCACUCUCUUAGGAACCAGAAGUUGAAAUGGAGAAAGUCAAAGCUACAGCUGAAAUGUCACUCUGUUAUCCGACGAGAAAUUGGAAUAAGAAUUCCUCAAGACCAUGCAAGAACUUGGCCCCAGCAGACACCACCACAAGAAAACCCAAGGAUUCAUCAGACGCACAAGGGCGCAUGUGUCCAACCAACGCCGAGAAUAGACACAUCUUCCCUCUCUCCUUCUUCUCCUGUGAAAUGCCCCUUAAAAUAUGGGAAAUGCUCACCAAGCAAGAAAAGAUCCUGGAACAGCAAACGCUCAUCCUAUGCCUCAUAGCAGAAUGCUGCAGAAUAUGUGAUCGAAGAAGGCCUUCUGCCGUUGAAGAAUCAACAAGGUCUCCAGAGCCUGGAAACCAAACUUCAGGSGGCUGACUUCAAACUGAAUGUCAUGUCCACUCCCGCACCUGCGCUCGAGGUCACCGGUCUACUACCCACCUGUCCUGGCAAGCCAUCUUUACGCACACCUGGCAACCAUCAUUGCGCACACCUGUGUCUCAUCAUCAGUCACUACUCCCUUGAUUACUUACCCUUUAUAUAGCACGCUUUUGUUAUUAGUCAUCAGGUAGUAUUGUUUAUGUUUCUAUGUCAGACGCUUCUCUUGUUUUAUAUAGCUCCAUGUUCGUUAUUAUUAAACUCACUAACUGCACCUGC